RNAcentral lists this long non-coding RNA (2760 nucleotides) under Bemisia tabaci. RNAcentral's name for it is "lncRNA ENSSWEETPG006299". Lineage: Eukaryota; Metazoa; Arthropoda; Insecta; Hemiptera; Aleyrodidae. The record is from RNAcentral.
AUGAGUGACAGUCCAAAAGCCCUUAAAGAAGCUGUCAUUUUAGCAAAUGAGGAGCCAGUGCACAACGAAGAUCCCGAAGAGAAUUGCAGUGAAGGUAUUCAAAACAUGCAAGAUAUCCAACCAGGUCCCAGCCAGCUGCCUGAAGAGUCCAAUAAAGCGACGCAGAAGGGAGCCAAGUCAGGAAAGCGCAAGCCUAAUAGUAAGAAAAGCCCCAAUCCGAAACGCAAGAAGAAGCUCAAAAAAUGUAAAAAUUAUGAUUUCCUAGCUGAACUUUUGGAAUUUGAAGAUAUCCCAUUAAGUGUGAAAGUCAUCUUGCAAAAGGAUGAUGCUCUGGAAGUUCUGAGUGGAGAAGAAAUCGACACUAUUUUUGAGAAUCUCUCAGAUACUGUCAAAGCUGCAGCCGAGCUCAUCUUCGAGAACCUGAAAAAUGAAGUUGCUCUGAAGUGGUUGAAAGCAGUUUCUCAGUUAGCUGUGUGCAUUAUUGAGAAUCUACCAGCUGAUGAGCCAAUCAAAGAGUCUAUCUCUCAUGUAGCGACUUUGCUUGGCCUUCUUCUGAAGUUGGAUUUGGAUUCAGAUGUAAGUAAUCAAAGUUUUAAGAUUUCUCUUUUUAGUUUUUUUGGGCGGGUCUAAAUUUGUUGGUGAUUUUACCACACAGAAACAGUAUAAUUACCCACCUUCAUUUAAAAAGUACAAAUUUUCGAAAGGUGGUGUGGAAGUUAGGACAAUUUACGAAAUUUCUGUGAGAGUAUACAUACUGACGUAUGGUAUUUUCACACUGAACUGCUGGAAUGUAUUAUUUCUCUACAUGGUUCAUUUUAUUACAUUCUUAAAAAAUCUCAACUCAAUUGAUCACUUGCGUAAGUGAGAGGACCUCAAUAUGGACUUUCCAAAUGGGAAGCCAGCUUGUGUUAGUAUAAUAGUAGCGUAUUUAAUAUCAAAUUGAGAUAAAAAUUGCGUGCAUUUUGUUCGUGGUGUCUGCAGUGAAAAUCAGGACAAUUUCCAGGUAAAUUUUUGGAACUUCUUGGCUUUGUUUUUCCCGCGAAAUGGUGUGGACCUAGCACCAUUUCUCUACCUUGUUACAAACAGUUCAGGACACUUCUUAGUGUUUUUUUUUUCAUUUGCAGGUAAACUGCAAUAAAAAGUCAUUAUGGUGCACUUAUUGAGAAAAAAGGUUUUUUAAAAUGAGGAGGCUAAGGACUCUCUGCAUUCCUAACUAAAAGUGCUGUCAAAUUUGAAAGUUGAGGAUCAAAGAGCUUACAUCCAAAUUUUUUUUCCAGGAGGGAUAUGCCAGAUAAUUAUCAAUUUCUUGCACCUUUUUCAGGUCGACAAACAGCUUAAUAGACACCUCUUUAAAUUAUUGUUUUUUUGUUUUUUUUCAGCUUAAACAAAGCAUUGCAGAAGUUUGCUCUCUAUUGUUGGUUUAAAAAUUGCGAAUUUUCUGAUCAAGUAUUUUUCUUAACAAUGAAUUCUGUGAUAGACCUCAUUCUGAAGUCGCCAGCAAAAUCACAAUGCUGUGUAAGUGAUCACUUUUUUUUAUCUUAUUCAGCCUCUAUUUUUCUAUAAUUGCCACGUUUUUCAAUACAACUCGUAGCUUCCAAUACACAUUUGGAGCUCCGUAAUGAAUUUGUGAUGGCACCUAAUAGUCCUUUGAUGCUUCAUGUGUCAUGCCAUCAGCAAUUAUUUUACUCUUUCUUUUCUUCUUUUAACUUCUCCUGCCUUUUUGAUUUCAUAUUUAUGAAAAUCCAUAAAACAGGGUUGCCAGCGACCGGAAAAACCGGGAAAAGUCAGGGGAAAAAAAAUCAACCGGGAAAGAUCAGGGAAAGUCAGGGAAUUUCGGUGUUGGUCAGGGAUUUUUUUCUGAUUUUUCGUGGAAUCAGGCUCGGGCGGUAUCGGGCUCACGUUGAAAUUUAAAUAGUCGAAAAUAGCUCUCAUUUUCACUUUAACAAACUACGUCAGAUCCAUACUUAAAAGUCUGGGAAUGGAAAAAAAUAAUUUGGCUGGCAACCCUGAAAAUGGAGUCUUGCAACUCUGACAAAUAUGAAUCCUAUUAUAAUUUAUAAGUAUAUUCAUUGAAUGUGAGCCCCAAAUCAGCGAUGCAUUUUUGACUUUACAUUAUUUAUUUCAUACUGUCAAAACUCCUGUUGGAAUCUUGUUUUCCAUCUAGUAAAAAUUGGUUCAAAAUUCAAUCCUGGCUGUAUGAAAAAGACAUCCAUCCCCUCUUUCACCCUGUGUAUAACAUACAUUUUUCUUCUUCAUGUCAAUUUUAUUUUUAUUAUAAUUAAGCGGAACAAAAACAGAACACUUCAAACAUCCUCUCAUAGUUUCUCCAUACAAAAAAAUCUAUGCAAUUGUCUCCAUCAAAACCAUCUUUUCACAGAACUAUCUGAAGGUAGGUUGGUUACCAUGCGCUGAAUUUAAAGCAUUUGUGUAUUUUUCUAUUCAUCAGAAAAAAUUUGUCAAAAUACUGCACUCUCUUGAACGAGUGAUAGCAAGGCUGCAGAUAACAAGCAAAGCGUGCGAGCCUCUCGUGGGUAAAUUCAUCAACAUCACUCAGUGCAAGGAUAUCAUGACAAUUAAGGAAGCAAAAGCUUUCGUGUCGUUUUACUCACAAUGGACCUAACAUUGCUCCCAGUAAGUCAAGUUUGAAUUUUCAGAGUCUCUCUAUCUAUCGAAAAAAUAUGUCUAUUGACAGGUUAGAUUCUACAUCUUUAAAUGUCAAGAUUUCUUCAAAUGAAAAGCCUCUCUUAGUUAAUCAAACCA